AAGUAGACCGCCUGGGGAGUACGGCCGCAAGGUUAAAACUCAAAUGAAUUGACGGGGGCCCGCACAAGCGGUGGAGCAUGUGGUUUAAUUCGAUGCAACGCGAAGAACCUUACCUGGUCUUGACAUCCACAGAACUUUCCAGAGAUGGAUUGGUGCCUUCGGGAACUGUGAGACAGGUGCUGCAUGGCUGUCGUCAGCUCGUGUUGUGAAAUGUUGGGUUAAGUCCCGCAACGAGCGCAACCCUUAUCCUUUGUUGCCAGCGGUCCGGCCGGGAACUCAAAGGAGACUGCCAGUGAUAAACUGGAGGAAGGUGGGGAUGACGUCAAGUCAUCAUGGCCCUUACGACCAGGGCUACACACGUGCUACAAUGGCGCAUACAAAGAGAAGCGACCUCGCGAGAGCAAGCGGACCUCAUAAAGUGCGUCGUAGUCCGGAUUGGAGUCUGCAACUCGACUCCAUGAAGUCGGAAUCGCUAGUAAUCGUGGAUCAGAAUGCCACGGUGAAUACGUUCCCGGGCCUUGUACACACCGCCCGUCACACCAUGGGAGUGGGUUGCAAAAGAAGUAGGUAGCUUAACCUUCGGGAGGGCGCUUACCACUUUGUGAUUCAUGACUGGGGUGAAGUCGUAACAAGGUAACCGUAGGGGAACCUGC
RNAcentral lists this ribosomal RNA (653 nucleotides) under Salmonella enterica. RNAcentral describes it as "bacterial SSU rRNA". It matches the Rfam family "Bacterial small subunit ribosomal RNA", at positions 862 to 1515 of the family's 1533-position model. The record is from RNAcentral. Lineage: Bacteria; Pseudomonadati; Pseudomonadota; Gammaproteobacteria; Enterobacterales; Enterobacteriaceae.